Molecule: unclassified non-coding RNA, 400 nt
Filed under: uncultured fungus
Lineage: Eukaryota; Fungi
Description: sequence contains ITS1
Rfam family: 5.8S ribosomal RNA (bases 1-105)
Source: RNAcentral
GAAAUGCGAUACGUAAUGUGAAUUGCAGAAUUCAGUGAAUCAUCGAAUCUUUGAACGCAUAUUGCGCUCUUUGGUAUUCCGAAGAGCAUGCUUGUUUGAGUAUCAGUAAACACCUCAAAGCUUUUGGAUUUUUUUUUUGAAAGCUUUGGACUUGAGCAAUCCCAACACCAAUCUUUUCCAGAUCGGCGGCGGGAUCGCCGGCGACUUCGCGAUCUGCACGGUCCCCUCGAUCAUUCAGGACAUGCAGCGCGACGUACCGUUCUGGGGCUACUUCGCCCAGAUCACCGACGCCGCGACCUCGUACGGCGGCUACUCGGGGGCGCCGCCCAACGAGAAGAUCACCUGGGGCAAGCUGGCGGUGGACACGCCCAAGUUCUUCAUCAACUCCGACGCGAGCAUC